AUGGGGAUGGCUGUACUUGACGAGGCCCAGCGGCGACGGCGGCAGAGCGUCUACGAGUUCUUGGACGCCACCAAGCCCGCGUGCGCCCAGGCGCUGCGAUGGUGCGAGACGGCGCGGGAGAUGCGUAGGAUCGACGGCGACAUGAAGGAGGCGGCCCAGCUGCUCCGCGGCGCCCUCUCCUGCGUCAAGGACUACGCGUCUGUCUACAGGACGUGGAUCGCCAUGGAGAUGGACGGCGGCGGCGGCGUCGGCGUUGCCCGGUGGCUCUUCGAGGAGUGGGGCACCGUCUGCGCCAAGGAUGGAAUCCUCCGCAAGGACGACGACGGCACCACCGCCGACGAGUACGGCGACUACUGGUGCGCGUACCUCGCGUUCGAGCUCCGUCACGGGGACGCCAGGCGCGCGCGCACCUGGCGGCACGGGCCGUGA
RNAcentral lists this ribosomal RNA (429 nucleotides) under Triticum aestivum (bread wheat). RNAcentral describes it as "partial small subunit ribosomal RNA". The record is from RNAcentral. Lineage: Eukaryota; Viridiplantae; Streptophyta; Magnoliopsida; Poales; Poaceae.